GUCUUAGUGCGGAAGUUUUCGGAUGGAAGGAUUAAGACUUAGUGGCGGACGGGUGAGUAACGCGUGGGUAACCUGCCCUGUACAGGGGGAUGACAGUUGGAAACGGCUGCUAAAACCGCAUAACAUGGAGAUACCGCAUGAUAUUUCCAUCAAAUAUUUAUAGGUACAGGAUGGGCCCGCGUCUGAUUAGCCAGUUGGCAGGGUAAUGGCCUACCAAAGCGACGAUCAGUAGCCGGCUUGAGAGAGUGACCGGCCACAUUGGGACUGAGACACGGCCCAAACUCCUACGGGAGGCAGCAGUGGGGGAUAUUGCACAAUGGGGGAAACCCUGAUGCAGCGACGCCGCGUGAGUGAAGAAGUAUUUCGGUAUGUAAAGCUCUAUCGGCAGGGAAGAAAAAGCGCGCGAGCGCCCUUGACAGUACCUGACUAAGAAGCCCCGGCUAACUACGUGCCAGCAGCCGCGGUAAUACGUAGGGGGCAAGCGUUAUCCGGAUUUACUGGGUGUAAAGGGAGCGUAGGCGGCCAUGCAAGUCAGAAGUGGAAACCCGGGGCUCAACCCUGGGAGUGCUUUUGAAACUGUGCGGCUAGAGUGUCGGAGGGGUAAGUGGAAUUCCUAGUGUAGCGGUGAAAUGCGUAGAUAUUAGGAGGAACACCAGUGGCGAAGGCGGCUUACUGGACGAUGACUGACGCUGAGGCUCGAAAGCGUGGGGAGCAAACAGGAUUAGAUACCCUGGUAGUCCACGCC
This 745-nucleotide ribosomal RNA is filed under the name uncultured bacterium. RNAcentral's name for it is "bacterial SSU rRNA". It matches the Rfam family "Bacterial small subunit ribosomal RNA", at positions 61 to 801 of the family's 1533-position model. The record is from RNAcentral.